Molecule: small nuclear RNA, 109 nt
Organism: Zalophus californianus (California sea lion)
Lineage: Eukaryota; Metazoa; Chordata; Mammalia; Carnivora; Otariidae
Source: Ensembl
GUACUCACUUCAACAGCACAUACACUAAAAUUGGAACAAUACAGAGAAGAUUUUACCAUGGCCCCUGUGCAAGGAUGACAUGCAAAUUCAUGAAGCAUUCUAUAUAUUU